GUGCCAGCAGCCGCGGUAACACGUAGGAGGCAAGCGUUAUCCGGAUUUACUGGGCGUAAAGCGCGUGCAGGCGGUCUGGUAAGUCGGACGUGAAAGCUCCUGGCUCAACUGGGAGAGGUCGUUCGAUACUGUCAGACUAGAGGACGGAAGAGGGAAGUGGAAUUCCCGGUGUAGUGGUGAAAUGCGUAGAUAUCGGGAGGAACACCAGUGGCGAAGGCGGCUUCCUAGAACGUUCCUGACGCUAAGACGCGAAAGCAUGGGGAGCGAACGGGAUUAGAAACCCCGGUAGUCCAUGCCGUAAACGAUGCGAACUUGGCGUUGGUGGUGUAAGAGCCAUCAGUGCCGCAGCAAACGCGAUAAGUUCGCCGCCUGGGGAUUACGACCGCAAGGUUAAAACUCAAAGGAAUUGACGGGG
RNAcentral lists this ribosomal RNA (415 nucleotides) under uncultured prokaryote. Its description in RNAcentral is "bacterial SSU rRNA". It matches the Rfam family "Bacterial small subunit ribosomal RNA", at positions 505 to 918 of the family's 1533-position model. The record is from RNAcentral.